RNAcentral lists this ribosomal RNA (1429 nucleotides) under uncultured Bordetella sp. RNAcentral's name for it is "partial 16S-23S ribosomal RNA intergenic spacer". It matches the Rfam family "Bacterial small subunit ribosomal RNA". The record is from RNAcentral. Lineage: Bacteria; Pseudomonadati; Pseudomonadota; Betaproteobacteria; Burkholderiales; Alcaligenaceae.
GGUUCGAUUCUGCUCAGAUUGAAUGCUAUGGGAUGUUUACACAUGCAAGUCGAACGGCAGCAUUGACUUCGGUCUGGUGGCGAGUGGCGAACGGGUGAGUAAUGCAUCGAACGCCGCAUGGGGAUAACUACGCGAAAGCGAAGACAGCCUGCAGACAUGCAUGCCCUUCGGGGGAAAGCGGGGGGAUCCGGGCCUCGGAAUGUUAGAGCGGCUGAUAUCGGAUUAGCGGUUGCGGUAACGGCUCACCAAGGCGACUGAUCCCAGCUGGUUUGAGAGGACGACCAGCCACACUGGGACUGAGAGCAUAUCGCACCCUACGGGAGGCAGCAGUGGGGAAUUUGGAUAAUGGGAAACCUGAUCCAGCCAUUCCGCGGUGGCGAAGGCCUUCGCCAGAAGACUUUUCGGCAGGAAGAAAUGGUAUCGAUAAUACCCUCGUGCAACUGACGGUACCUGGUGAAUAAGCACCGGCUAACUACGUGCCAGUGCUACAGAAGUAGGGUGCGUUAAUCGGAAUUACUGGGCGUAAAGGUGCAGGCGGUUCGGAAGAAAGAUGAACCCAGAGCUUAAUUUGGAACCGUACUUAACUGCUUGAGCUAGAGCAAGUCAGAGGGAGGAAUUCCGUGCAAGCAGUGAAAUGCGUAGAUAUGCGGAGGAACAACGAUGGCGGCGCAGCCUCCUGGGAUAACACUGACGCUCAUGCACGAAAGCGUGGGGAGCAAACAGGACGAGACUCGGUAGUCCACGCCCUAAACGAUGUCAACUGCUGUUGGGGCUUCGGCCCGGUAGCGCAGCUAAUCGCGUGAAGUUGACCGCCUGGGAGUAAUACGGUCGCAGAGCUAAAACUCAAAGGAAUUACGACCCGCACAAGCGGUGGAUGAUGGGACAAUCUGAUGCAACGGCGAAAAACCUUACCUACCCCGGAUGUCUGGGAAUCCUGAAGAGAUUUGGGAGUGUUUCAAAGAGAACCGGAACACAGGUGCUGGUAUGGCUGUCGUCAGCUCUUCGUGUCGUGGGAUGUCGGGCAAGUCCGUACCAGAGCGGCAACCCUUGUCAUUACACAAAGGGCACUCUAAUGAGACUGCCAGGACAAAACCGGAGGAAGGUGGGGAUGACGUCAGUCCUCAUGGCCCUUAUGGGGGUCAACACGUCAUGCAAUGGUCGGGACAGGGUCGCCAACCCGCGAGGGGAGCCAAUCCCAGAAACCCGAUCGUAGUCCGGAUCGCAGUUCGCAACUGACUGGUGAAGUUUGAAUCGCCAGGGAACUGGUGGAUCAGCACAUGUCGCGGUGAAUACGUUCCCGGGUCUUGUACACACCCAGCCUGUCACACCAUGGGGAGUGGGUUUUACCAAGAAGUAGUUAGCCAACCGUAAGGAGGGAAGAUUACCACGGUAGGAUUCAUGACCAGUGAAGUCGUACCGGGUUGCAACU